UGACGGAGGAGUCCUGCUCUGACCGCCGCACCGCCUACAAGUGCACGCAUCACAGGAUCACCUACGACUCGGCGUACCGGCAGGCGGUGGGAGACUGACUACCGGAAGAGGUUCCACUGCUGCCCUGGGUUCUACGAGAGCGGCGGCAGAUGUGUCCCUCACUGCUCCAGGGAGUGUGUCCACGGCCGCUGUGUCGCUCCGGACCGAUGCCAGUGAGAGAGGAUGGAGAGGAGAGGACUGCUCCAGUGGUACAACACACACACACACACACACACACACACACACACACACACACACACACAGAGUAACUAGUGGAG
This 317-nucleotide long non-coding RNA is filed under the name Salarias fasciatus (jewelled blenny). RNAcentral describes it as "lncRNA (ENSSFAG00005017505.1)". Lineage: Eukaryota; Metazoa; Chordata; Actinopteri; Blenniiformes; Blenniidae. The record is from RNAcentral.